UCUGGGAAAUUUGAAUGUAAUGAACUUCAAUACACUGACUACUCUGAUUAUAAAUAUACAUCUUCUUGCCUACAGUUGCUGCCCACACAUCAGCUGCUCUUGAACAGGCCUCUGCCCAGAUCUCUGGCAACAUUCAAAGUCAAUUCGAACGGGAUCAUGCACUCCUGCGUGCUGUGGAGGAGUUGAAGGCCUUGGCAGCACACCUUAGUGCGCUUGGGGGCUGCAAUCCUGGUGACGCGGUUCGAAGAAUCCUUCGCCACAUCCUCUCCAACCACUUUGCGCUGAAAUUCA
Long non-coding RNA from Gadus chalcogrammus (walleye pollock), 291 nucleotides. RefSeq lists it as uncharacterized. The transcript is spliced from 3 exons. The record is from RefSeq and is a predicted model, not a curated record. NCBI's taxonomy places the organism in Eukaryota, Metazoa, Chordata, Actinopteri, Gadiformes, Gadidae.